Solanum pennellii is the source of this 1328-nucleotide long non-coding RNA. RefSeq lists it as uncharacterized. The transcript is spliced from 4 exons. The record is from RefSeq and is a predicted model, not a curated record. NCBI's taxonomy places the organism in Eukaryota, Viridiplantae, Streptophyta, Magnoliopsida, Solanales, Solanaceae.
AUGGGGUGAAGAAGAUUGGUUAGGGUUUUGCUGCUUCCAGUUUUUUCAAUCAAAUUUAUGCAUAGUUCAAUUUUAUACUUCUUGUUGUUAUGAUACUAUGUCCAACUCCCCACUUCAAUUUUCUCUCAUUCAUCAUUGGUAUAAAUCUUAAAUUUAUUUGUUCUUCUGUUGUGACUAUGCCAAGAACAUAUGGUCCAAAAUUCUGCAGUGGCAGGGGAUACAUUGACAAGCACUAUCAUGGCAAGAGGAGUUGAGUUGAGGACAUGAAAUAGCUACCACUAACUUUGAUGUUUGUUUAACGGAAUUAGGAUGGAGUAUUCCACCGUCGGGAAGUGUGAGACAAUGCCAUCAACAAGAUUACUGAAUGUAAAGAUCAAAGCACUACUUUGCUUUGAACAAGAAAGAAUGAUAUGGAUUUGUCACCUGCAACUACCCUUUCUUUUUUACAACGACCUUUUGGAUUUCAAAAUCUUGCAGAGGUUUGGAAUCACUACCAUUAGAUUUUCAGUUGUUUAUAUUAUUUUGCCUUACAACCAUUUUCAAUGAAACUGAAUAGACGAUAGUCAUGGAACUUCCUGUGAACGUGGACUACUUUUGGACAAUCUUUUGGAUCUACCACAUGCUCCUUAAAUUAAGGAUGGAGUGUCCCAAGCUUGAUAAAGUUCUUGACUCCUGCAUCUGGUGUGCAAAAGAUAUUGGGAUCCGUAUACAUAGAUAUGGUCCUUAGACCAACUUGUAUGGUUUAUCCACCAUUGGCAUCUCAAAGCCAGGCAAAUUGGAAAUUGGAGGGACAGAGCACCAAGCAAUUUUCAACUUCGUCAAAUGAAUGUUUGACUACCUUUAUUACGAAAGAAGACACGGUUAUUAUAUCGAAUGUCACUGGAUUUUUCUCCCCUGCUGAAACACAUCCCCUUGAUGCAAUAUGUUUCGAGGCAUUUGCUGAGCAGGAUCGCCUGCUCAAUGGCACCAAUAUUUGGAACCUGUCAGUCUCUUACAAUAAGCUGUGUUUUGAGGCGGUAAAUAGUGGAGCAAAGGACCUACCAUUCAGCAGAUAAACAGAAUUACAUCAACUACCAAGCUUUACUUUUCAAGAUGACUUUGAUCUCUUUAUUAUCAGGUCGCGGUGAAAUUCAGUUAAGUUGAUGAGAAGCUCUCUCACUUACUGUGGUUACCAUAUUUUUUCUUGUGAGGAGAUGCUUAAAUGACUGUCGCCUCAUCACUCUAGAACUAAAUUUGUGCAUUUCUAAUCAUUAUAGUCGGAAGGGAUCGAACUUCCUUAUAUCGUGCAGGCUCGAGACAAUGUCAUGCUACAAUAUCUAUGUGACAAG